UAAAGAUUUUAAGGGCGUACGGCGGAUGCCUUGGCGAUAUCAGCCGAAGAAGGACGCGGUAAGCUGCGAUAAGCUACGGAGAGGUGCAAGCAACCUUUGACCCGUAGAUUUCCGAAUGGGGGAACCCGGCAGUGGUUAUGCACUGUCACCCAUACCUUUGAGUAUGAGGAGGGCACCUGGGGAACUGAAACAUCUAAUUACCCAGAGGAAGAGUAAUCAAACGAGAUUUUCUUAGUAGCGGCGAGCGAACGGGAAAGAGGCCAAACCGGAGCGGGCAACCGCACCGGGGUUGAGGACAGUCAUCAAGUGUAAAUGAGGUAGAAGAAUCGAGUUGGAAAGCUCAGCCGCAGAAGGUGAAAGCCCUGUAAUCGAAACCUUGCAUACAUGGGACUGUAUCCAGAGUACCACGAGACACGUGAAACCUUGUGGGAAGCAGGGGGGACCACCCUCCAAGCCAAAAUACUGAUAUCGACCGAUAGCGCAUAGUACCGUGAGGGAAAGGUGAAAAGAACCCCUGGCGGGGAGUGAAAGAGAACCUGAAACCGUAUGUCUACAAACAGUCGAAGUCUGUAUAUAUAUCAGGACGACGGCGUGCCUAUUGAAGAAUGAACCGACGAGUUACUGUUGCUAGCGAGGUUAAGUGGAAAACAUGGAGCCGCAGCGAAAGCGAGUCUGAACAGGGCGUUCAGUUAGUGAUAGUAGACCCGAAACCGUAGUGAUCUAUCCAUGGCCAGGUUGAAGCACAGGUAAAAUUGUGUGGAGGACCGAACUCGUGAGCGUUGAAAAGCUUUGGGAUGAGUUGUGGAUAGGGGUGAAAUGCCAAUCGAACACGGAGAUAGCUGGUUCUCCCCGAAAUAGCUUUAGGGCUAGCCUCGAGGUUGAGAGUAUAGGCGGUAGAGCACUGAUCGGGCUAGGGGCCAUACCGGUUACCGAACCUAGUCAAACUACGAAUGGCUAUACUUAUACUCGGGAGUCAGACAGUGAAUGAUAAGGUCCAUUGUCAAGAGGGAAACAGCCCAGAACACCGACUAAGGUCCCCAAUGUCAUACUAAGUGGCGAAGGAUGUGGAAUUUCCAAAACAACCAGGAUGUUGGCUUAGAAGCAGCCACCAUUUAAAGAGUGCGUAAUAGCUCACUGGUCGAGAGACUCUGCGCCGAAAAUGUCCGGGGCUAAAGUAUGAAACCGAAGUCGUGUCAUAUGCAGCAAUGUAUAUGGGUAGGGGAGCGUUCUCAUCGGAUUGAAGCAGUACCGUAAGGAGUUGUGGACUGGUGAGAAGUGAGAAUGUCGGUAUGAGUAGCGAAAAGAAUGGUGAGAAUCCAUUCCACCGAAAGCCUAAGGGUUCCUGAGCAACGAUCGUCGUCUCAGGGUAAGUCGGGACCUAAGCCGAGGCGGAAAAGCGUAGGCGAUGGACAACAGGUUGAAAUUCCUGUACCGGUGUGAAUCGUUUGAUCGAAGGAGUGACACAGUAAGGUAGGUCAGCACGCGAUUGGAAGUGCGUGUUUAAGCAUGUAGGUUGAGUUAUAGGCAAAUCCGUAACUCUAAAAGCUGAGAUGUGAUGACGAGCUGUUUACAGCGAAGUGAUUGAUCCUACACUGUCGAGAAAAGCUUCUAGGUAGAGACACAUCGCCCGUACCAAAACCGACACAGGUAGGCGGGGAGAGAAUCCUAAGGUGCGCGGGAAAACCCUCGUUAAGGAACUCGGCAAAAUGCCUCCGUAACUUCGGGAAAAGGAGGACUCAUGUAGUGUGAAGGGCAGUAACGCGUGGAGCAUGAAUGAGUGGCACAAGAGAGGCGCAAGCGACUGUUUACCACAAACACAGGUGCCUGCUAAAGCGAAAGCUGAUGUAUAGGUGCUGACACCUGCCCGGUGCUGGAAGGUUAAGAGGAGGGGUUAGACUUUGGUCGAAGCUCUGAAUUGAAGCCCCAGUAAACGGCGGCCGUAACUAUAACGGUCCUAAGGUAGCGAAAUUCCUUGUCGGGUAAGUUCCGACCCGCACGAAAGGCGUAACGA
RNAcentral lists this ribosomal RNA (2011 nucleotides) under human gut metagenome. RNAcentral's name for it is "bacterial LSU rRNA". It matches the Rfam family "Bacterial large subunit ribosomal RNA", at positions 1 to 2007 of the family's 2925-position model. The record is from RNAcentral.